This 570-nucleotide ribosomal RNA is filed under the name Kalmusia variispora. RNAcentral describes it as "eukaryotic LSU rRNA". The stretch from base 212 to 365 matches the Rfam family "5.8S ribosomal RNA". The record is from RNAcentral. Lineage: Eukaryota; Fungi; Ascomycota; Dothideomycetes; Pleosporales; Didymosphaeriaceae.
GUAACAAGGUUUCCGUAGGUGAACCUGCGGAAGGAUCAUUAUCGAUGGCCGCGCCGUGAGCGCCCUGGUGCAGGAUCGGCCGGCCACUGACCACACCCUUACUUUACGAGCACCUUUCGUUCUCCUUCGGCGGGGCAACCCGCCGCUGGAACCUCAUCAAACCUUUUUUUGCAUCUAGCAUUACCUGUUCUGAUAAAAAAACAAUCGUAACAACUUUCAACAAUGGAUCUCUUGGCUCUGGCAUCGAUGAAGAACGCAGCGAAAUGCGAUAAGUAGUGUGAAUUGCAGAAUUCAGUGAAUCAUCGAAUCUUUGAACGCACAUUGCGCCCCUUGGUAUUCCAUGGGGCAUGCCUGUUCGAGCGUCAUCUACACCCUCAAGCUCUGCUUGGUGUUGGGCGUCUGUCCCGCCUCUGCGCGCGGACUCGCCCCAAAGGCAUUGGCAGCGGUCCACGGCCCCUCUCGCGCAGCACAUUGCGCUUCUCGAGGCGGCCCGGCCCGCAUCCACGAAGCCCACAUUACCGUCUUUGACCUCGGAUCAGGUAGGGAUACCCGCUGAACUUAAGCAUAUCA